GCGGACAGAUGGGAGCUUGCNUCCCUGAAGUUUGCGGCGGACGGGUGAGCUAACACGUGGGCAACCUGCCUGUAAGACUGGGAUAACUCCGGGAAACCGGGGCUAAUACCGGAUAAUUCUUUCCCUCACAUGAGGGAAAGCUGAAAGAUGGUUUCGGCUAUCACUUACAGAUGGGCCCGCGGCGCAUUAGCUAGUUNUUNAGGUAACGGCUCACCAAGGCAACGAUGCGUAGCCGACCUGAGAGGGUGAUCGGCCACACUGGGACUGAGACACGGCCCAGACUCCUACGGGAGGCAGCAGUAGGGAAUCUUCCGCAAUGGACGAAAGUCUGACGGAGCAACGCCGCGUGAGUGAUGAAGGUNUUCGGAUCGUAAAACUCUGUUGUUAGGGAAGAACAAGUACCGGAGUAACUGCCGGUACCUUGACGGUACCUAACCAGAAAGCCACGGCUAACUACGUGCCAGCAGCCGCGGUAAUACGUAGGUGGCAAGCGUUGUCCGGAAUUAUUGGGCGUAAAGCGCGCGCAGGCGGUUCCUUAAGUCUGAUGUGAAAGCCCCCGGCUCAACCGGGGAGGGUCAUUUGGAAACUGGGGAACUUGAGUGCAGAANAGAAGAGUGGAAUUCCACCUGUAGCGGUGAAAUGCCU
This 645-nucleotide ribosomal RNA is filed under the name uncultured Bacillus sp. Its description in RNAcentral is "bacterial SSU rRNA". It matches the Rfam family "Bacterial small subunit ribosomal RNA", at positions 66 to 691 of the family's 1533-position model. The record is from RNAcentral. Lineage: Bacteria; Bacillati; Bacillota; Bacilli; Caryophanales; Bacillaceae.